RNAcentral lists this ribosomal RNA (245 nucleotides) under uncultured bacterium. RNAcentral's name for it is "partial small subunit ribosomal RNA". It matches the Rfam family "Bacterial small subunit ribosomal RNA", at positions 26 to 285 of the family's 1533-position model. The record is from RNAcentral.
AGAAUCAACGCUGGCGGCGUGCCUAACACAUGCAAGUCGAACGAGAAAGUGGAGCAAUCCAUGAGUACAGUGGCGCACGGGUGAGUAACACGUGACUAACCUACCCUCGAGUGGGGAAUAACCUCGGGAAACCGGGGCUAAUACCGCAUAACAUCCACGGAUCAAAUGCGUAAGCAGCUUGAGGAGGGGGUCGCGGCUGAUUAGCUAGUUGGCGGGGUAAUGGCCCACCAAGGCAGUGAUCAGUA